UUGACCUCGGUUCAGGUAGGGAUACCCGCUGUACUUAAGCAUAUCAAUAAGCGGAGGA
This 58-nucleotide ribosomal RNA is filed under the name uncultured fungus. Its description in RNAcentral is "partial 28S ribosomal RNA". Lineage: Eukaryota; Fungi. The record is from RNAcentral.